UACGGAGGAUGCAAGCGUUAUCCGGAAUUAUUGGGCGUAAAGCGUCCGCAGGUGGUUAAUCAAGUCUAUUGUUAAAGCGCGAGGCUGAACUUCGUAAGGGCGAUAGAAACUGAUUAACUAGAGUUUGGUAGGGGUAGAGGGAAUUCCCAGUGUAGCGGUGAAAUGCGUAGAUAUUGGGAAGAACACCGGUGGCGAAAGCGCUCUACUGGGCCUGAACUGACACUGAGGGACGAGAGCUAGGGGAGCGAAA
This 250-nucleotide ribosomal RNA is filed under the name uncultured prokaryote. Its description in RNAcentral is "partial 16S ribosomal RNA". It matches the Rfam family "Bacterial small subunit ribosomal RNA", at positions 524 to 773 of the family's 1533-position model. The record is from RNAcentral.